This 526-nucleotide long non-coding RNA is filed under the name Physcomitrium patens. RNAcentral's name for it is "long non-coding RNA (PPAT_LNC010556)". Lineage: Eukaryota; Viridiplantae; Streptophyta; Bryopsida; Funariales; Funariaceae. The record is from RNAcentral.
AAUUUAUUAAGUAACAUGAUGAGAGCCAUGUUAAUAGAUUUUAGUUGAUUGUAAAAUAUAAUUUGAUUAUUACUUUGAGAAGAAGUUGUUUAAAAAGAUUACUAUAGAAUUUGUAUAACUUUAAUUUCCUUUUGAUAGUGGCUUUUAAGAUUGGUUUUGGUUGAUAGCAACUUCUAAAUAUUUAGAGUCACCUUUGUUAGACAUUGGUCACCUUUGAAAACUUAUUUUGGUUCUUUUAUUUGGUGUUUAGAGCAUAAAUUAUGUAAAUCUUAUAAGAAAAAAGAUUGAAGAAGAAUUUUGAUAGCAAAAGGAGUAAUUAGGGCACCAAUAUAGAUGAAUGGAAAUGAAUGAUGAAAAUCUCCAUUCCUAUUGGUCAAAAAUCAUGACCAAUGAGCUUUGAGGAGGCUGCCCGAGGCCAUAUUAGAGAUUAGGGUUAGUUUUUUGAAACCAUUUGAGCUUUGAAGGCUAGGGUCAACAAGUUUAGGUUUUUGGCUAUGGUUUUGGUGCAACUUUUGUGUGUUUUGGA